ACGGGUGAGUAAUACAUCGGAACAUGUCCUGUAGUGGGGGAUAGCCCGGCGAAAGCCGGAUUAAUACCGCAUACGAUCUACGGAUGAAAGCGGGGGACCUUCGGGCCUCGCGCUAUAGGGUUGGCCGAUGGCUGAUUAGCUAGUUGGUGGGGUAAAGGCCUACCAAGGCGACGAUCAGUAGCUGGUCUGAGAGGACGACCAGCCACACUGGGACUGAGACACGGCCCAGACUCCUACGGGAGGCAGCAGUGGGGAAUUUUGGACAAUGGGCGAAAGCCUGAUCCAGCAAUGCCGCGUGUGUGAAGAAGGCCUUCGGGUUGUAAAGCACUUUUGUCCGGAAAGAAAUCCUUGGUUCUAAUAUAGCCGGGGGAUGACGGUACCGGAAGAAUAAGCACCGGCUAACUACGUGCCAGCAGCCGCGGUAAUACGUAGGGUGCGAGCGUUAAUCGGAAUUACUGGGCGUAAAGCGUGCGCAGGCGGUUUGCUAAGACCGAUGCGAAAUCCCCGGGCUCAACCUGGGAACUGCAUUGGUGACUGGCAGGCUAGAGUAUGGCAGAGGGGGGUAGAAUUCCACGUGUAGCA
Molecule: ribosomal RNA, 582 nt
Filed under: uncultured Burkholderia sp.
Lineage: Bacteria; Pseudomonadati; Pseudomonadota; Betaproteobacteria; Burkholderiales; Burkholderiaceae
Description: bacterial SSU rRNA
Rfam family: Bacterial small subunit ribosomal RNA
Source: RNAcentral